Molecule: long non-coding RNA, 1651 nt
Organism: Alosa sapidissima (American shad)
Lineage: Eukaryota; Metazoa; Chordata; Actinopteri; Clupeiformes; Clupeidae
Exons: 3
Source: RefSeq, a predicted model, not a curated record
ACUGCGUCGGGAUUAGUGUGUGCUUCACCUCACUGCAUGUUCACUGAGCUGAGAUGAGCAUGCACAUGUGUUGAGCCAGUAGCGGCUGUGCAGGAUGUCCGGAGGGCUUAAAAUCGUCCACACAUUCAGUCAAUCCGGCCUGUCCAUCCCGUCCAAAUGCACAGCUCUUAGUUAAAGGAAAAUAUGGGACAGGAGUUAUCUAAACAUGGCAGGAGCACAGAAAACUGAUUACUGGUAGAGCAGGAGAAGGAGAGGAGAGGGAGGCAACAUGACUUUAUUGUCAUUCAGCUGAUUUACUUUCCUCUCAGUUUGGGCUUUCUCCCGUAAUGGACUCUGUCAUCUUCAGGCAAAACAGAGCAGAGACCAACAUGGAAGCAAUUAAACGGUUAUUCCACCCCAACUUGUCCCGGUCCAGGCAUUUUGGGCUUAUAUGCAGUGCUAGCUUGUGUGUGUGUGUGUGUGUGUAUCUUUCCUUUUCACUCUGUGUGAGUGCAUGUGUCUAAGAAUGUAUGUGUGAUCACUAUCUUUCUCCUAUAUGUAACUAUGUCCUCUCAACAAAGAGUUGUUUGAGUCUGUGAGAGUAUAUAUCCCUUUCCCAUCCCUUUGCACUAGCAUGUGCAUGUGUUUGUGUGUGUAUCUCUCUCUUCUCUGAGCGUAUGUGUGUGUGUGUGUGUGUGUGUGUGUGUGUCUGUUCCCCUCCGGCUCGUGAGCCUCUAUCCAGGGAGAGCCAUAAAUAAGGUCAGAGAGGGUCAGCUGAUGCCUCCAUCCUGAACGGCUAAUUAAAACCACCGGUGUUGGACGGCAGGGAGCCCGGCUGGCACGCAUCCGCUCCGGAUGCGGACGAUGACAAGACAAAAGAGGAAGCCAGGGACCCCAGGCGACAGGACUGCAUGUCAAUGGGCAUCUUCUCCUGCAGUGAAAAGGGGCUUCAGAGAAACAGAGAGGCCUUCUGCCCCAGCUGGAGACCGGCUGCAAAGUGCCAUGGCAGCAGGGCAGAGACUGCAUGGACGGGCAGGAAGGAGGAGAGAAGUGGAGUGAAAAAGUGGCGGAUAACUUCAAGAAUGCAAUUAAGGCUAAUCAGGUUAUCCAGCUGGUCGAACUCCCACCCAGCUAGUGGUCUUUCACAGUCUCUUCCCACACUGAAUACACUUCACACAGAGAUCUGACUGUGGCUCUGAGGCCGUCAAAGCUUCUAAAAGGGACACCUCAACAUAGGAAGAAAAGCCUCAAACAGCCUUUGCCCCCAAAAGCGCCAGGCUUAAACAAGGGAAGCGUCUGCCACUCCCCUCUACGCCAGACAGCGGGUGCAGAGAGGUCGAUCUGAAUCCAUGCCCCAUCCCUCACCACAUUCCCACAGCAAGGUCCCCCAGUGAUAAAUCACCCCGCAGCCAACAAAAAGGUGGACGAGCAGCAGGAAGGAGCCCACAAAAGAUCAGCUGGGCCUGGAGGGUGUGUGUGUGUGUGUGUGUGUCGGGCAUGGGGUGUUAUACUCAGCUCACAGGGCACCCCAACCCUGGUUUCUGACAUGGGAGUGUUUCUAAGCUGUGCAUCAGAUCUGCAAGUCCAGUCUGAAAAUAAAAAGUGGAGUUCUGGAAUACACCGUCAACACACACACAUAAUUGCAUUUCCCUGGUUUUGUACCUGCACUGAA